GAUGAAGAACGUAGCGAAAUGCGAUACUUGGUGUGAAUUACAGAAUCCCGUGAACCAUCGAGUCUUUGAACGCAAGUUGCGCCCGAAGCCAUUAGGCCGAGGGCACGCCUGCCUGGGCGUCACAAGUCGUUGCCCCCCCAUCUACUCCUUCGGGAUUGCGGGGGGCGGAUGAUGGCCUCCCGUGCGCCUCGUCGCGCGGUUGGCAUAAAUGCCAAGUCCUCGGCGACGCACGCCACGACAAUCGGUGGUUGCGAAACCUCGGUUGCCCGUCGUGUGCGGUCGUCGCGCAUCGAGGGCUCGAAAAAAUUGCCGGGCUCCGGCUCGGCUUUCAACGCGACCCCAGGUCAGGCGGGGUUACCCGCUGAAUUUAAGCAUAUCAAUAAGCGGAGGA
RNAcentral lists this unclassified non-coding RNA (391 nucleotides) under soil metagenome. RNAcentral's name for it is "partial contains 5.8S ribosomal RNA, internal transcribed spacer 2, and large subunit ribosomal RNA". The stretch from base 1 to 122 matches the Rfam family "5.8S ribosomal RNA", at positions 35 to 154 of the family's 154-position model. The record is from RNAcentral.